This 369-nucleotide ribosomal RNA is filed under the name Escherichia coli. RNAcentral describes it as "partial 23S ribosomal RNA". It matches the Rfam family "Bacterial large subunit ribosomal RNA", at positions 824 to 1191 of the family's 2925-position model. Lineage: Bacteria; Pseudomonadati; Pseudomonadota; Gammaproteobacteria; Enterobacterales; Enterobacteriaceae. The record is from RNAcentral.
AAAGGCCAAUCAAACCGGGAGAUAGCUGGUUCUCCCCGAAAGCUAUUUAGGUAGCGCCUCGUGAAUUCAUCUCCGGGGGUAGAGCACUGUUUCGGCAAGGGGGUCAUCCCGACUUACCAACCCGAUGCAAACUGCGAAUACCGGAGAAUGUUAUCACGGGAGACACACGGCGGGUGCUAACGUCCGUCGUGAAGAGGGAAACAACCCAGACCGCCAGCUAAGGUCCCAAAGUCAUGGUUAAGUGGGAAACGAUGUGGGAAGGCCCAGACAGCCAGGAUGUUGGCUUAGAAGCAGCCAUCAUUUAAAGAAAGCGUAAUAGCUCACUGGUCGAGUCGGCCUGCGCGGAAGAUGUAACGGGGCUAAACCAUG